GAUGAACGCUGGCGGCGUGCCUAAUACAUGCCAGUCGAGCGAACAGACGAGGAGCUUGCUCCUCUUACGUUAGCGGCGGACGGGUGAGUAACACGUGGAUAACCUACCUAUAAGACUGGGAUAACUUCGGGAAACCGGAGCUAAUACCGGAUAAUAUAUUUAACCGCAUGGUUCAAUAGUGAAAGACGGUUUUGCUUUCACUUAUAGAUGUAUCCGCGCCGCUUUAGCUAGUUGGUAAGGUAACGGCCUACCAAGGCGACGUUGCGUAGCCGACCUGAGAGGGUGUUCGGCCACACUGGACCUGGAACACGGUCGAGACUCCUACGGGAGGAAGCAGUAGGGAAUCUUCCGCAAUGGGCGAAAGCCUGCCGGAGCACCGCCGCGUGAGUGAUGAAGGUCUUCGGAUCGUAAAACUCUGUUAUUAGGGAAGAACAAAUGUGUAAGUAAAUAUGCACGUCUUGACGGUACCUAAUCAGAAAGCCACGGCUAACUACGUG
RNAcentral lists this ribosomal RNA (497 nucleotides) under uncultured bacterium. RNAcentral describes it as "partial 16S ribosomal RNA". It matches the Rfam family "Bacterial small subunit ribosomal RNA", at positions 28 to 507 of the family's 1533-position model. The record is from RNAcentral.